Molecule: ribosomal RNA, 498 nt
Filed under: uncultured bacterium
Lineage: Bacteria
Description: bacterial SSU rRNA
Rfam family: Bacterial small subunit ribosomal RNA
Source: RNAcentral
ACUCAAAUGAAUAGACGGGGACCCGCACAAGCAGCGGAGCAUGUGGUUUAAUUCGAAGCAACGCGAAGAACCUUACCAGGCCUUGACAUCCUCUGACAAUCCUAGAGAUAGGACGUUUCCUUCGGGAACAGAGAGACAGGUGGUGCAUGGUUGUCGUCAGCUCGUGUCGUGAGAUGUUGGGUUAAGUCCCGCAACGAGCGCAACCCUUGCCUUUAGUUGCCAGCAUUGAGUUGGGCACUCUAAAGGGACUGCCGUAGACAAUACGGAGGAAGGUGGGGACGACGUCAAAUCAUCAUGCCCCUUAUGGCCUGGGCUACACACGUGCUACAAUGGGUUGGGACAAAGGGAAGCGAAGCCGCGAGGUGAAGCCAAUCCCAUAAAACAACCCCCAGUUCGGAUUGCAGGCUGAAACCCGCCUGCAUGAAGUUGGAGUUGCUAGUAAUCGCAGAUCAGAAUGCUGCGGUGAAUGCGUUCCCGGGUCUUGCACACACCGCCCGU